This 372-nucleotide ribosomal RNA is filed under the name uncultured organism. RNAcentral's name for it is "bacterial SSU rRNA". It matches the Rfam family "Bacterial small subunit ribosomal RNA", at positions 526 to 896 of the family's 1533-position model. The record is from RNAcentral.
CGGGGGGGGCAAGCGUUGUUCGGAAUUACUGGGCGUAAAGGGCUCGUAGGCGGCCAUCUAAGUCAGACGUGAAAUCCCUCGGCUUAACCGGGGAACUGCGUCUGAUACUGGACGGCUUGAGUUUGGGAGAGGGAUGCGGAAUUCCAGGUGUAGCGGUGAAAUGCGUAGAUAUCUGGAGGAACACCGGUGGCGAAGGCGGCAUCCUGGACCAACACUGACGCUGAGGAGCGAAAGCCAGGGGAGCAAACGGGAUUAGAUACCCCGGUAGUCCUGGCCCCAAACGAUGAAUGCUUGGUGUGGCGGGUAUCGAUCCCUGCCGUGCCGAAGCUAACGCAUUAAGCAUUCCGCCUGGGGAGUACGGUCGCAAGGCUG